AGAAUGCCAUUUGUUUGCGAACAGUGUGGCAGAGAGGUCAAAACACGGUCGGGGAUCUCCUAACACAAAGCCUCCCACGCACGGACAGGAAAAUAGGAGAUUAAAGUAUUUUUGGAAGCACCUUCAAGAGACGUACUGAUAUCUUGAUCAAUGAAAAGUUGUCAUAUACAAACAUGUAUAGUAAAUGUUCCAAAGUUUAAAUAACUGUUUGUUUUAUUACCAGAUGGUGCACGUAUUGCAGGGAAAGAAAACAAUCAAAGUAAACAUUACAUAAAAAUUUGACAUUUCAACAAAUUGAACAACAUUAUAUGAUUUAAUGUUAAUUACUUGGUGCAGUGGUAACAAGAUCUUGCAGCGCCCUUUCAUGACCGGGGCGAAUGAGUAUUUUCAUUAAACAUCUCAAACUAU
Long non-coding RNA from Dreissena polymorpha, 408 nucleotides. RefSeq lists it as uncharacterized. The record is from RefSeq and is a predicted model, not a curated record. Lineage: Eukaryota; Metazoa; Mollusca; Bivalvia; Myida; Dreissenidae. The transcript has 2 exons.